This 398-nucleotide ribosomal RNA is filed under the name uncultured bacterium. RNAcentral describes it as "bacterial SSU rRNA". It matches the Rfam family "Bacterial small subunit ribosomal RNA", at positions 358 to 773 of the family's 1533-position model. The record is from RNAcentral.
GGAAUCUUGCACAAUGGGGGAAACCCUGAUGCAGCGACGCCGCGUGAGUGAUGAAGCCCUUCGGGGUGUAAACCUCUUUCGGCAGGGACGAUAAUGCCGGUACCUGAAGACGAAGCUGCGGCUAACUACGUGCCCGCAGCCGCGGUACUUCGUAGGCAGCGAGCGUUGUUCGGAGUUACUGGGCGUAAAGCGUGCGUAGGCGGUGUCCUAAGUCUGGUGGGAAAUCUCCCGGCUCAACUGGGAGGGUGCGCUAGAAACUGGGGUGCUGGAGUGUGGGAGAGGUAAGCGGAAUUCCUGGUGUAGCAGUGAAAUGCGUAGAUAUCAGGAGGAACACCUGCGGUGUAGACGGCUUACUGGACCACUACUGACGCUGAGGCACGAAAGCGUGGGGAGCAAAC